Molecule: ribosomal RNA, 88 nt
Filed under: Tubakia sp. 1 JZG-2018a
Lineage: Eukaryota; Fungi; Ascomycota; Sordariomycetes; Diaporthales; Tubakiaceae
Description: partial 18S ribosomal RNA
Rfam family: Eukaryotic small subunit ribosomal RNA
Source: RNAcentral
GGGCCGGAAAGUUCUCCAAACUCGAUCAUUUAGAGGAAGUAAAAGUCGUAACAAGGUCUCCGUUGGUGAACCAGCGGAGGGAUCAUUG